This is a long non-coding RNA of Suricata suricatta (meerkat), 823 nucleotides long. RefSeq lists it as uncharacterized. The record is from RefSeq and is a predicted model, not a curated record. Lineage: Eukaryota; Metazoa; Chordata; Mammalia; Carnivora; Herpestidae. The transcript is spliced from 3 exons.
AUCCAGCUAUCUGCUGUUUCUGCUUAAUUUUAAGGCAAAUGUUAGGGGCAGAUUUUAGUGUAUCGAGAGAAGUGGAUGGAUGUUUCUCAGUGCCCAGCCAAUCCUCAGCUAACCCUGUUUGUCUUGGUGGAACUCCAGUGAGGGAUCAGAUCACAAGAGCAGGUGUUCUUCUCUGGCAACACACGGGAGGGCCCUUGUGUGUGUUCCUGGUUCUGGGCAGCUCUCUCUGCUGAGCUGUGUGCAUGGAUGGGGCUGCCACACUCUUGUGAAAGAGGAGAUGUUUGAGAGGCCACUCCACCCUCUCCACCCUGAAGGUCAUAAAGGCCAAGGUCUCAGCAUGGUCACAGUGGGCCUGGCCUAAUGCAAGUUCUCCCUGGUCAGGAGCAGAUGAAACUCAUUUAACCUUAGGUGUGUCAUCUGUACAGGGGAAAGAUAUCAGCUUUGCUGGCAGGAGCUGGGGGACCUCUUGAGGGUCACUACCUCUACAUUGCCAGGAUGCUGAACACCCAUGGACUGCACUGACCAGAGACGUCAGACCCCAGAGUGUGGCAGCUGAACAACCUGUAGAUGCAAAGAAAGGUGCAGCUGUGGAGGUCUACCAGCCUUUGAGAGCUACCAAUGUGCCCUUGGAGACCCUGAACCAGAGGAAGGCUGAGAAGGUCCAGUCCUGGGAAGUCAGCCUCAGGAGGGCGCUGGGCUUCAAGAAGUGCCCCCAGUGAAGAGAGAAGCCAGAACAUGUUUGUUGGUUGUGGGGCCCUGGCUCCUUUCUGGCUGUUGAGACCUUGCUGCCUGUCACCCCAUAAAACAUGAUUCCCAAUCGAGA